This 162-nucleotide ribosomal RNA is filed under the name uncultured bacterium. Its description in RNAcentral is "partial 16S ribosomal RNA". It matches the Rfam family "Bacterial small subunit ribosomal RNA", at positions 393 to 539 of the family's 1533-position model. The record is from RNAcentral.
CAUGCCGCGUGUGUGAAGAAGGCUUUCGGGUUGUAAAGCACUUUCAGCGAGGAGGAAAACGUGUUGGUUAAUAACCAGCAUGCUUGACGUUACUCGCAGAAGAAGCACCGGCUAACUCCGUGCCAGCACCUUCGGUGACUGAGCGGGCUGGCAAGGCGCAUA